GGAGGAAUAUUGGGCAAUGGGGGAAACCCUGACCCAGCAACGCCGCGUGAAGGAUGAAGGCCUUCGGGUUGUAAACUUCUGUGACAGGGGAAGAAAGAAAUGACGGUACCCUGGGAGGAAGCCACGGCAAACUACGUGCCAGCAGCCGCGGUAAUACGUAGGUGGCGAGCGUUGUCCGGAAUCACUGGGCGUAAAGGGCGCGUAGGCGGCAAUACAAGUCGCAUGUGAAAUACCAGGGCUCAACCCUGGGGGGCCAUGCGAAACUGUAUAGCUUGAGUGCAGUAGAGGUAAGCGGAAUUCCUGGUGUAGCGGUAAAAUGCGUAGAGAUCAGGAGGAACACCGGUGGCGAAGGCGGCUUACUGGGCUGCAACUGACGCUGAGGCGCGAAAGCGUGGGGAGCAAACA
This 405-nucleotide ribosomal RNA is filed under the name uncultured Bacillota bacterium. Its description in RNAcentral is "uncultured Firmicutes bacterium partial 16S ribosomal RNA". It matches the Rfam family "Bacterial small subunit ribosomal RNA", at positions 355 to 774 of the family's 1533-position model. Lineage: Bacteria; Bacillati; Bacillota. The record is from RNAcentral.